GUAGGUGGCAAGCGUUGUCCGGAAUUAUUGGGCGUAAAGCGCGCGCAGGCGGUUCUUUAAGUCUGAUGUGAAAGCCCACGGCUCAACCGUGGAGGGUCAUUGGAAACUGGAGAACUUGAGUACAGAAGAGGAAAGCGGAAUUCCACGUGUAGCGGUGAAAUGCGUAGAGAUGUGGAGGAACGCCAGUGGCGAAGGCGGCUUUCUGGUCUGUAACUGACGCUGAGGCGCGAAAGCGUGGGGAGCAAACAGGGAUUAGAUACCCUGGUAGUCCACGCCGUAAACGAUGAGUGCUAAGUGUUAGGGGGGUUUCCGCCCCCUUAGUGCUGCAGCUAACGCAUUAAGCACUCCGCCUGGGGAGUACGGCCGCAAGGCUG
This 374-nucleotide ribosomal RNA is filed under the name uncultured organism. Its description in RNAcentral is "partial 16S ribosomal RNA". It matches the Rfam family "Bacterial small subunit ribosomal RNA", at positions 527 to 896 of the family's 1533-position model. The record is from RNAcentral.